Long non-coding RNA from Sebastes umbrosus (honeycomb rockfish), 3716 nucleotides. RefSeq lists it as uncharacterized. The record is from RefSeq and is a predicted model, not a curated record. The transcript is spliced from 2 exons. Lineage: Eukaryota; Metazoa; Chordata; Actinopteri; Perciformes; Sebastidae.
ACCCCUCCACCCAUCCUCCCCUCCAUCCCUCCAUCCCUCCAUCACCCCUCCAUCCCUCCAUCCCUCCACCCCUCCACCCCUCCAUCCCUCCUCCCCUCCAUCCCUCCACCCCUCCAUCCCUCCUCUUCAUCACGGCACUCCGAGGCCGGCCAGCAGACUAAACCCUGUGGUCAGUCGUCUUCUAGUACCCAGGGUUUCUAUCCAGGGUUAAAGGUUAAGGGUUAGAGGUUAAGGGUUAAAGGUUAAAAGUUAGAGGUUAAGGGUUAAAGGUUAGAGGUUAGGAGGUUAAGGGUUAAAGGUUAGAGGUUAAAAGUUAGAGGUUAAGGGUUAAGGGUUAAAGGUUAGAGGUUUCUAUCCAGAACUACAGAAUCAUUUAACGACUUUUAAAAGCCCGUUUCCUCCUUCCUCCUUUAAUCCUCCCUUCUUCCCUCCCUCCUCUUCCCUCUUUCCUAACAUCUCCCCCCCUCGCUCUGAGUUAAUGCACUUAUAUAGUUGUCCACGCCUCCCUCCUCCUCAUCCUUCUCCUUAUCCUCCUUCUCUUCCUCCUCUUCUCCUCCUCCUCCUCCUCUCCUCCUCCUCCCCCCUGCUCCUCUCUCUCGGCUUUUCUUAGUGUGCUGCUAACAGCUGGUUUUAUUCCACUUUAAACAAAAGAAGAAAAAAAGGUUAUUAAACUGUCCGUUUAUUUUCAACAAACACUGUGAUGCUUAGUUUUUGCUCCACCUCUCCACCAGGUCCUGGUUGAUGGUAGAUCAGUGUUGAGCUGCCUCCACCUCUCCACCAGGUCCUGGUUGAUGGUUGAUGGUUGAUGAUUGAUGGUAGACUCAGAGCUGCCUCCACCUCUCCACCAGGUCCUGGUUGAUGGUUGAUGGUUGAUGGUUGAUGGUAGACUCAGAGCUGCCUCCACCUCUCCACCAGGUCCAGGUUGAUGGUUGAUGGUUGAUGGUAGAUCAGUGUUGGGAGGGUGGCGGGGGGGGUUUGACCAGCGGGUCCAUUCUGCUGAGGUUUAUACAGAAGGGUCCUCCUACAAGGCUGUAUUGUGACACUGACAGAUCUAAAAACACCUGCCGUGUAAUCAUCAUUAUUUCGAUUUCAUUUUGGAACGGAGAGCCGGAGAUGUAAUCGCCGUGGUUCUUCAGUUCGGAGCUGAAACUGAUUUAAAGGUAUUAAAGAUGACAUCCAUUCCAUCUGAAUGAUAAACUGAAGGGACCUGCCUGCUCCCUCCGAUGUCCCUCAACGUCCUUAACAUCUUCAUUCUCGCUGUUAACAAAUCAAACUCUUCUUUCUGCUUUUUGACAACUGUAAAAUUGUAAAACAUUUGUAGAGCUGAACUGUAAAUCUGUCUUUUGGAGAACAGGUUUGUCGAUGUUGUUCGUUAACGCCUGAGCUUGCAGAGAACCCGAAGCCGUAACAGUCCGUUGCCGUUUUCUGCUUUGGCAUCUUUGACCAGAACAUUUUUGGUACUUUUUUUUUUCUCCUUAUGCCCCUUAAAUACUUCUACUGUGGAUUCUAUGAAAGGUUUCCACUCGCUGCUGAACGCACGCCGUCAUUUAUCACCGUGUCAAUCUAUCCGCACGCCGUCGAUCGACACUUAAACUUCCUGCUUUCUCAUUUCCAAAAUACGAACGGCCAGUUUUCCUUCCUGUGAUCGGAUCGUUCCGUCUAAAGUGUGAUUCAUGCUCGUGUUGCGUUCCACCAUCAGACGCAGCCCUUCGUUUUCUAACGAGAACUUUGAGGAUCUUUGAGAAUAUCGGUUUGCCGCGAGGAGAAAUCCGUAUAAAAGAUCUGAAUGUUUCCUCGUCACAAUUCCACGUCAGCUCGUGUCCCUGCGACCAUCCGAAGCUUUAAGGCCCAGACGCACCAACCCGACAUCAAAGAACUAGCGGCAAUGAACGCCGCCAGCUGCGUCGUCUCAUGUCACCUCUGUCUCGGCCAAAAAGUUGCACUCACACACACCGCAAAGACGACGGACAACUACCACGUACGUUCUGCGCCUGCGUUAGAGGAAAUAACUCUCCACACCAGCAGGCGGUGGUCGUCUGUGUUCGUCAUUCAGAAAGAGACAGAGGAUAUACAAGCCGUUAUGAUGCGAACAUGAAACAAAGCGGCGUCAGCCGACCGUUUUCUCACCACUCUCACUCACCACUGAGCCUCAUUACAGAUGUUCAUGUUGCUGUGAAACUAUCCGUGUGUUGGAACGAUCAGAUGAGAUGAAGAUGAAACAUGAGAAGAGUCUUCUGUGUAACCCUGAACAGCCAAUCAGAGUGAUUUCUCUCACCGACGGGCGCCACCGCUGAUUCAACACGCUGAAUCGGACGAAAAGCCUCCAACAGGGGCAGACUAUAGCCAACGGUGAGAGACACACCGCAACAACUAGACCGACAGACGCUCACCGACGGCCCGUCUUCGGCUUGGUGUGUCAGGACCUUUAUGCUUGCCACGUCUGCGGCGGGCCAAAGUGGCGUCACACCAUCAGAUGCGGCCCUUCGCGGGGGUUCUGUGACCGUCCUUUCAGAAAGUAUAACCGAAGCUUAAGAUGUCAUUGGUCACUUGCUGGUUUUUUAAAAGCAUUUUAAAGCUUCAGGACGAUUCCUUACUUCCUGUUUAGGCUGAACCAGCUGACUCGUUUAAAUGUUUAGUUAGAAGCUGAUUUUAUUUUGAAGUAUACGUGUUUGGUGCAGUUUGAGUCCACAACAGGAACGUGCGUUGAAGGAGCCAAAUCUCCCGGCAGAUCAGCCAGUCACCUGUUAGUGGAAGUGAGAACCUGUAGUUACUGUGUUCACGCUGCAGUUCAUCAACAUGCGUACGCGACGAGGCGACUUUUAGAUCAUCGUUCUGACUGCGUUUAGGAAGCGAAAACACUCGAUCGGCCGUUAACGGUACAUUUUUCCAGCUCAUUUUUUGGAUCUGAUCUUGUACAUUUGAACCUUGUGGUUCCUCUUGUUUAAAGACUGCGCCCUGCCGAUAGCGAGAUAUGUGUUCAGAUCCCACACUGAGAAACAUGGAGGGUAGCCCUAACCCAGAACGCAGACCUGCGAGUCUCUCAAAAGACCCUUGUUUUCUUCCAGAGUCGGUUUAAUUUCAUAUUUGUAUCCACUCAGUGUCACAAUAAGCUUGUCACUAACCAUCUCGACAUUCCACUCUUUAGGUGUAGAAAAGUCAUGUGUCUCAAUGUUUUGUUUUUUUCUUUUGCUGGGGACAAAUGUUUUCAUGCACUGAAGUUUAAAAGGUAAAAGAAAAAAAAUAAUUCCUCCCUGCCGCUCUUUUUCUCGUUAGCUGAACAAAAAGGCAGUUAUUCUACGCUUUAUAAGGAAAAAAGUGAUCCCAUGCAGUAGUGAAUGUGGCACCGAGCCUGUCUGUAUAUCUGGUAUCUCAAAUCAUUUUGUUUUUACUGACCAGUAUUAUGCUUAAAAUAAAAAUAAAAAAAAAAAUAACCCAAAAAACAACAAAAAAAUGUUUUGCUUCUGUGACGGUUUUAUUGCUUAGCGCGCACGUGGUUGUGAACAUUUAGACUUUAGCUUCAAGACGCCAAUAAAAAUAAAAAAAAUACAAAAAAAAGAAAAACCCUUGGACACCUUCCCCCCCACCCUGGUUAUUGAAGUAAUACUAGAUUUGUGUAUGUCUUUAAAAAUCCAACUCUAGUUUCACCUUACAUGUUAUAAACAGGACAAAAUGUAAAAGACAAUUUAAAGUGAAAUAAAGGUUUUAUCAGUUCCGAA